Molecule: long non-coding RNA, 461 nt
Filed under: Gallus gallus (chicken)
Lineage: Eukaryota; Metazoa; Chordata; Aves; Galliformes; Phasianidae
Source: RNAcentral
GAAAUUCCAUGGGAAGCAAAAUGUCUCCCUUGCUGAAAAGGCUUUUCGAUGGAAGCAGAAAAAGGUUCUUAUGCUGUGAACGUUGUCCCACAUUCUGGACAUCAGGCUAGAAGAUCAGAACAACAAAAAAAUAAUUGCCAUCCUUCCUGAGCUUGAUUCUGUGCCUGCAGAGGCACCUCUGAAUCUCCCUGGGCCUCCUCUCUUACCAGAAUUACAAAGGAAAAAGCAGAAAUUAGUAUGAGCUAAGGGAAAGAGAAAAUACUUCCUAUCUCCCACAGAGAACAGACACACAGUUAAAGCCCCAAGGCCCUUGAUAAGAAGACAUGAAAGAAUCGCUUCCAAAACAUAAUCCGGUUCCCAAAGAUUUGCACUAAGAAAUCCCCGCAGGAGCUGACGGUGCCAGAAGCACUACCAAUUCCCAAUCCAGUUCCUAUCCUGUGUGACAGGGCGCAGUGUGAAGC